RNAcentral lists this ribosomal RNA (277 nucleotides) under uncultured bacterium. RNAcentral's name for it is "partial 16S ribosomal RNA". It matches the Rfam family "Bacterial small subunit ribosomal RNA", at positions 29 to 333 of the family's 1533-position model. The record is from RNAcentral.
AGCGAACGCUGGCGGCAGGCUUAACACAUGCAAGUCGAACGGAUCCUUCGGGAUUAGUGGCGGACGGGUGAGUAACACGUGGGAACGUGCCUUUAGGUUCGGAACAACACAGGGAAACUUGUGCUAAUACCGGAUGUGCCCGAAAGGGGAAAGAUUUAUCGCCUUUAGAGCGGCCCGCGUCUGAUUAGCUAGUUGGUGGGGUAAAGGCUUACCAAGGCGACGAUCAGUAGCUGGUCUGAGAGGAUGGCCAGCCACAUUGGGACUGAGACACGGCCCA